UCAGGACGAACGCUGGCGGCGUGCCUAAUACAUGCAAGUCGAGCGAACAGAAAAGGAGCUUGCUCCUUUGACGUUAGCGGCGGACGGGUGAGUAACACGUGGGCAACCUACCCUAUAGUUUGGGAUAACUCCGGGAAACCGGGGCUAAUACCGAAUAAUCUCUUUUACUUCAUGGUGAAGGAAUGAAAGACGGUUUCGGCUGUCGCUAUAGGAUGGGCCCGCGGCGCAUUAGCUAGUUGGUGAGGUAACGGCUCACCAAGGCGACGAUGCGUAGCCGACCUGAGAGGGUGAUCGGCCACACUGGGACUGAGACACGGCCCAGACUCCUACGGGAGGCAGCAGUAGGGAAUCUUCCACAAUGGGCGAAAGCCUGAUGGAGCAACGCCGCGUGAGUGAAGAAGGUUUUCGGAUCGUAAAACUCUGUUGUAAGGGAAGAACAAGUACAGUAGUAACUGGCUGUACCUGACG
RNAcentral lists this ribosomal RNA (468 nucleotides) under Lysinibacillus macroides. RNAcentral's name for it is "bacterial SSU rRNA". It matches the Rfam family "Bacterial small subunit ribosomal RNA", at positions 24 to 484 of the family's 1533-position model. Lineage: Bacteria; Bacillati; Bacillota; Bacilli; Caryophanales; Bacillaceae. The record is from RNAcentral.